Molecule: long non-coding RNA, 32269 nt
Filed under: Citrus maxima (pomelo)
Lineage: Eukaryota; Viridiplantae; Streptophyta; Magnoliopsida; Sapindales; Rutaceae
Description: long non-coding RNA (CMAX_LNC000335)
Source: RNAcentral
UGGGAUAUGUUUUUCUGAACUAGAGAUGACAUCACUAGCAUCUGGUCUUUCUCUUUGAGACAGCUGAGAGAGUGAGGUGCCGUGAGAGAUGCAAUCGAUGGGGGGGUAGAGAGAGGUAGCCGACAGUGAGAAUGGUAAGGAAGAACGGAGCGUAGUGAGAUUAGUGGAUUGGUGAGGAAGAGCGUGAGGGAGAGAAUGAGAGAGCAUGUGUUGUGGUUGAGAAUGUUGCAAUUGAAAAUUUACUGUAACCUUUUAUGCUUGCCUCAAAACUCACCGUUUUGUGCUAACUGUUGUGCUCAAUGUUGUAAGAAUAUCGGAACUGUUAUAAAUUUGUUUCUAAAUAGAAAACUCUUUUGUGGAGUCAAUAUUUUGAAAACCAAAGUCUCGAGUUCUUUCUCGUGCGUGCCUGGCCAGCAUCCUAAACCUUACUGCUAGCCGGAGAAUGGCGUAAAACGGCGGCGAUCUUCUUCUUCAUCUUUUUCUCUCUGUCAUCGUUUCAGGUAACCUUGUGAUUAUGAGUUUCUUCUCUUUCUUAGCUUGCAAAAAUAGGUUUUGAUUUCUUUAAUUCGUAUUGUAGCCAUUAAUAUCAAUUUUUGUCCUGCCGGCAAUAUUUUUUUGUUCCUAGAGGUUGAAGCCCUUCUGUUCUUGUUCCAUUGGUGACUUUGCUCACUCAAAUUAAUUUUGUUCUGCAGAAUUUACAAAGUUCAAAUGGAUUCGUUUGGAUUACUAUUGAAUUUAGCUUUCAUUUCAACAUUCAUUCUAAUGUUUUACAAUUAUGUAUUUAGAUUUACUUUAAUUUUAUGUUUAAAGCUUCUGCAAUGAAUAGCUGAGCUUGGGUCUUAGUUUCAUUUUCUAAUUAACUUGUUUUAGUUUAUCUUAUAUGCUCACCAAGUGCUUGUUAUAUUGUCUGAUAGGUUAUAUAACAUUGCUGAUUCUAUAUUAAUAAUGUCAUGUUCCAUUUUCAGAAAUUAUAAUAUAAAAGUUUUUACAAUGGGGUGCAUCUACAAACUGAAUUGACUUGUAGAGUAAGAGCUUGGAGUAGUGUUGCAUUCUUGAAUAAAUGAAAGUUCAUAUUGUGUAAGAGCAUGUAGAUGUAAAGCAUCAUUACCAUUUCUACCAAGUGCUUUCAUUCCGUUCAGAUGCUCCACUUGAACUUUGGAAGGUGCCUCAUUCAAGUCCUAGCUAUAACUAAUAGCUCUGAUUAAUUAAGUUCAUGUGCUAGCUGAAACAGAUUUAAUUAAUUAAUUAAUUAAUUGUGUAUGUACUAAUUAUAUUGAAAGUAUAUGAAGAAAUUGUUUAACAUGAAUGACUUCUAAAUGACUUAAAAGCCUAGAGGAUAAGUGAAAUAAUGCUCAUUUCACUUGAAUGAGCCUAUUAAUACUUGUAUGUCUAUGAUUGUCAAUAUUGCUUAAGUGUUUCAGUUAAGUGGUUUACCUAGCAGGGAAAAAAAUUUAAUGGAAAACCUUAGAGUUUUAAUAGAAAUAUAGUUCACUAUGCAGAUAUAGUUAUUUUACGGUAUAUAAAUCAUGUUGUCCUAUUCUCAAUGUCCUACAACCUAUUUUAUUUUAUAUAGUCAUUCAUUUUUACGAUGGUUUUUUGUGUUUAUGAGUAUGGAAAUAGUGGGAUUUGGUGUACCUUAGCAUCUUUCGAAAAUUCUCUUUAAAUGCGGCAAACAAAAAUAUACAUAUAAUCAAGUUUCUUAAUCAUGUAUAUUAGGUUUGGGUACGAAUGUUUUCCUAUUCUAGUUCUAGGCCAAGUUUCUUCAUUUUGGUCUUCAGAUUUCCAGUAGGUUAAGCUAAUCAACUAUCAUAACUGGCUAGCUAGUUAUUGCCUGCCUUGUCGCCAUUACCGACGCCAUUACAUUGCAUGGCAUAGGGAAUAGUAACUAUGUGAUUAUUGGUGAUUUGUUGAGCUUAUUAUUGACCAAACAAACAUAUUCGCCUUUACCCACAACUUGGUUUGAUUAGUUACUGGACAAUAAAGAGCCUUAAUCUAUGCAUUGGCUUUCUUAUUUUUAUUUGGUUUUUCUUUCAACAAUAUUGUUGAUUUCUUAAUCAUUGGCUAUUUAAUGAAGCUAAUUAAAACUAAGGCUUCGGAUCACUUUCUUCUAACAACAAACAAAUGAGGAUAACCUAUCUCCUCUAAGCAAAUUUUUCUAAUAUCCUUGAUUUGUUAGGACCUGGAGGCCUGAAAUCCUCUAGAUUUUUUUAGCAUUGCCAAUGUUCCUUUUAUUCUGAAAAGGAAAAAAAGGUUAUAUCGUUUAUACCCUAACAGUAAAAUGGCCUUUGACUUAACAUGCCUUCCUGAGGAUUUGCAAGAUUCACAAGCAGCCUAGCCACCCCCCAACGCAAAAAAAAUAAAAAAUAAUAAAAAUAUAAAAUAUAAAAUAUAAAAACCCAAAUAGGAAGACUUUGCAACAUUCACAACGUGGUUACAUUUAAGUUAUUAAUUGUGUGUGUGUGUACUAGUUAUAUGUUGAUAGUAUAGGAAGAAGUAUUUUAACAUGGAUGACUUAAAACUUAUUGCUCAGUAAACAUAGUCUGCAUCAGUGCUAGAAAAUGUAUUCAUUGUUUGUAUUUUUUAUGGUUUUGAUUAAGAAAUGAAAUGUGAAAAAAUGCUACAUUGUAUUAGGAAUAAAUUGAAGAGAUUUAUGAUAUUUAUGUGUUAUUCAAGUUUCAGAUUCAAUUUUAAACUUUUGAUACAUGCAUUGAAAGCUUAAACUCCUUUAAGAAGUUAUUGAUAGACACAUGUUUUAUUAGUGUCAUCUUUGGAUGAUAGUGAGGAUCUUAUGUCUAUUAAUAAUUCUUGAAUUAUCCAGGCUCGGACAUUUUGGUAAUGCAUAGUUUUCUAUGGUAACUAGUACCUGAAAUUUUUUUCCCACAAAAAAUGGGCUUUUCAGUAGCUGCUCCUCAUAUUCUGGGUGCAUACUAGACGAAUGGGUGUCGUUUUGUUUUGGGAUAACACAUAAACACUCAUAUAUCUAUGUCAUGUACUUGAAGAACUAUAGGGAGAUGCUUCCGAAAUUUCUAUAAACGUAGAGGAAAACUUUAGAUACUUAAGGUUGAAGAAACUUAUGCAUUCUUGAGUGGGAUAUAGAGGACCACUUACCUUUUGUAAUAUGAAGGGAAUGUUGGAUAUAUUGAUGGGAGUGGAUGAGCUGAGUGGGAUGAAUGUAAACGGUUAUGAUUUUGCUGAGUUGACUUGGUUUUGAGUCUUGUAAUUUUGUUUAUAAAUGGAGUACUAUCUCCAAUGUUGGUUUAUAAAUAUGUUUCAGCUGGCUGACCUAAUUUUUUAUUUCUAGGUAACAGGCUUUAUAUAUUCGUAAUUGAUAGCCAAGUGAAGUUCUCAGCAGUGGGUGAGGAUAUUUCUUUACAGAAGGUAUUGGAAACUGUUUUUCACAUUAAUUAGUAUUGUAUACAUACUUUAAUUUCACAUCUUUUUCUCUGAUUCUUGUGGCUUUGCUUGCUUUCAUAUAUAUAAACAUUCUAAUGAGAUUAACAUAAAAUUGUAUAAUGAUUUUUUUUAAUUAUAAAUUGCGCGCACACGAAAAUAUCUUGUUUAGUAGUAGAAAUGAAGAACUAAAAUGAUUUAUUUAACUAAUUUUUCUAGUGCAUUAAAAGGAGAUAGUCAUGGACAAGAGUUGGGUUGGUUUGCCAAAUAGAUAUCCAAGUCAUAUACUGAUGGGGUUGAAAAAUUUAUAGAUUUUGCAUUUGAGAAUGUUGUUGGUGAUAAAAGAAUUUAUUGUCCUUGUAAGAAGUGUCGUAAUAUCGAUAUUUCAUUAUAAGGGAAGUGGCAAGAGACCAUAUCAUUACAAAUGGCUUUUGGUUAAAGUAUUGAAACUGGAUAUUGCAGGGUGAGCCAUCUUCAUCUUUGAAAUCUAACUAAGAAACAGGUUAGUCAUGACUCGGGUGCUGAUGAUAGUAUGGUUGGAGUGAUACACGAUGCAUCACAUAAUCAAGUGUUCAAGUUACACGCAGCAUUGUUAUGUUAUGGACUAUCAGUGACUUUCUAACAUAUGCCAACUUGUUUGGGUAGAGUAUUAAAGGUAAAUAAGCAUUUCUUGUUUGCCAACAAAACACUAGUUCUAAUUGGUUGAUACAUAAUAGAAAAUUUUGUUACUGGGUUACCGUCGAUUCUUACCAACGAAUCAUAGGUUUCGCAAAUAUAGUGUCUUUUGAUAAAACUAGGGGGUAGGGAUAAACGCCUUCUCGGUUGUCUUGAACUGACGUGAAAAAGCAGGUGAAUAAUAUAUUUACUAAGUAUAAGAUUGAAGACCUGAAAAGAGGAGAAUGAAUAAAAUGAAAGAAAUGAUAAGAUUACUUGGAAGAAGAAAAGCAUUUUUUAUGAACUAACGUAUUGGGAGUUCAACUUGAUUCAUCAUAAUCUUGAUGUCAUGCAUAUGAUCUACUUUCUUUCAUUUUCUCACCUCCCAAACAUCCAUUAUACAAUAAAGUUUUUUUAGAUUUUAUUGUUUCAUAGAAUUAUAUUUUGCAUAUGAUGAAAUAACUUAACAUUUUAGUAUUCAUUUGCAUAUAAUAAUUAUAAGUAAGAAAAAAUAAUUGCUUACAAUUACUACUAGUUUUAUUGUCGUGAUUACAAAUAAAUUGCUCAAAUUUUCUGCUUCAGCUAUCAAACCUUUUAGCUGCUUCCAGACAUGAAGAAAUUAAACCCAUAAUUUCUAGGUACAAUUGCAUUCGUAUAUGCCAUGAUACAUAUGAUAUGAUUAGAACCAAAAGGAGAAAUAAAUUUUUGGGACUUAUUGUGAUGGUGAUUAAUCUUUUUCUACCUUAACUUUGAUAAGGUUAUAAUUAAAUUUUAUAUGAUUAAAGUGGUCAAUGGUUAAAUAAAUAAAUAAAUAAAAUAGAUGAGGAUGGACUAAUGAAAUGACCCACCCCCGAACUCCACAAGGUGAGUCUAUGUAAUAUCGUCUUACUUGACUGAUAAUAAUCUAAUUAGUAAGGAUUUUACCGAAAAUUUGAUAGAGUCUCCACUUUGAAUAUAACAUUUCCAACCUGCAAAUGUGUAAAACAAGCACUCUCAAAAUAAAUCAGUAUACAACCAACUUCAUUGAUUAACCUCCUCAACUAUAUUACUGAAUAUUACCCAAAAUAUCUACAAAGUAUCAAAAGAUUAUUUAUACCUACUGUUGACAUAUAUUAAGCUAUUUUUAAUCACAAAAAAUAUUACAAAAUUAUAUAAUCCAAAAAAAAAAGAAAUCAAAAUGCCCUGACAAUAUAAUCUAUAUCUCCUAGUACCAUCACAUGGCCAAAAUUCAAAAUACUAUAGUUGCUAAGUCAACUGGUGUCUUGCAACCUCCUGAGGGGUGGGAGGGAAUUAUAAUAAAACGGGUGAGUAUAAAACUCAGUGAGCUCGGUGAGUGGAUAAUAGUUUUUGAAAAUAACUUACCAUAAAUAAUUAUACCACUUUUAUAUAUGAUUUUAUCAAACUGUAUGUAAGAAACAUGAAUAAAUUAUUUAACCUUUGAAUCAAGUAAUUGACAUUGAAAAGAAUACAUUAAGAGGUGCAUAAUAAUCAUGGAAAUUGUAUCACAAUAUAAAAUACAUGAUUAUGAAAUUAUCACAAAACAAGUACCUAAGGGAAUAAUCUUGUCGUACCUAGAGCUCAUACGGGCAAUGCAAUGACAUAUUCUCUAGGUACUGUCAUCCUCGGAGCUAGCACCGGUAGAUCAAUGAAGUGUCAUCUUAUAUAUCUUAUCAUAUCUUUGCAUGCAUAAACUAGUCCCCAAAAGACAAAGGUGCCCAAUCACAUAAUCCAAGGCCUCUGUGAGCCCCAAAGGCCCCUAUCUCGUCUGUAUAUUAGUAACUGAAUCUUUGUUAUCAUCAUAUUUCAUGCAUAAGCGUUCAAAAGGCAAAAGUGCCCAACUAGACGGCCCAAAGCCUCUCUGUGUGUUCAGACGGGCCCCAAAGUCCUCUCAUCUCAUCUGUAUAAUUGUAAUUGGAGGGGAAGGGCAUUGUUCAACGAGUUUGAGAACAAACUUAUAUAUAUACACACAUAAACAUUUUAAUCAUACUUUAAACUCUUAUUUCCUUUUCAUUACAUACUUUAAAUUUGAUUUUCUUUUCUUUAUAUUACUCUCAUGUAUAUACUCAAAAUCGAUAAUAAAACCAAUAAUCAUACUUUUUAAUAAUAAAUAUCAAUACUUAAAUAAAACCUAUUUCUAGAAAAUCAUUAGAUCGGAGCAUUAAACACUUAUUUCCCAAACAUGCUUUACUAUACUUUAAAAUCAUAAUAAAAUAUGAAAAAUAGGUUUUGCCUAUUUCACUCACCGUGACGAUAUUCAAACUCGGCUAUCAUUAAUGUCUGUAGGAUGGUUCUCACUCACUAUUCCCCCUAAAUCAAGGAUACGACAUAAUUACUUUCCAUAAAUGUGAAAUACAACUAACUGUAUGUAAUAUACUCGAAACGAACAUCUAUCCACAAUAUGCUACUCCUAUGUCUGUAACGUUACCAAAAAUACCCCCAAAAUCAUAAAUUGUCAAACAACCCUCAAAAUCAUAAAUUACCAAACUAUCCUCUAUAAAAUAUUAUUAAAAUAUCCACAAAGUCAGAAAUUAAAAAAUUACCAUCAAAAUAUAAAAUUAUCAAAAUGCCCUCGUCGGUCAAUGGUGAUCGGGAGUCAAGUGAUGGUGGUUGGAAUGGCCAAGAUAAAUGCUUUGGACCACGCUGAAUUUAAUGGUGGCAAAUUGACCAUUUCUGGUGACAUGGGUGAUUAAAAAUUGUAGAGGGUGUCGUGAGGGAGAAAACUAAGCAGUAGUGUGCCACAAGUUCGACGAAAUCUCAUCAAAUCGAGGUGGUAGUACCACAGCUCUUCACAUUCUUGAUCGGUGGUCUUUUAGCAGUUAUUUAGUGACCAUGAUGGUUAGGGAAUGACUAGCAUUGGUUGAGGAUUCGAUCGAUACCUUCUGUUGUCGAUAGAGUGGCCGAAAAUAGUAGUUAGCAGUGGGUGGGGUUUCAAUUCUAUCAGUUAGGUUGAUAGCUCUUCCUCUCUUUGUUUUUCUCUUUCCCUCGAUUCCGUGUCAUAACAAGUUUAAACUAGUUCAAACUCGAACCAUUUAACAAGCGUGUCAAAUUUAACAACCCACACUCAUUUAUUCAUGUUGAGUAAUUGAGUCGUAUCAAAUCUGCCAAUAACAAUUAUAAUAAUGACUUCUAAAACUUCAAGUCAAAGAGGAGGAUAAAAUAAUGCACUUGAUUAAACAUAAAAUGCAUAUGUUACAACUAAUCACUAUUCAAAAUAUUAAGAGUGGAGUAGCAAAUGUCAAUUUAUUUGGUUGCAAUCAAAUUUAUCCUAUGAUAAAUAGUGAUUAUUAAAUAAUAUAUAGAUCUAUUAUAUAGUAAAUUAAUAAUAUAUAUUAAUGAAAAUUUAAAAAUAAAUUAUUUAAAAAAGUCAAACUAGGUAAUGGACUUAAAUGUGAAAAUUUAAAAUAAUUUGGAGUUAUGUGUCAAAAUAUUGAAACUUUGUCAUUUUUUAAUGUGCAAGCAAAUAAUAGGGACUAUAGACUUAAUAAACUAUUAAAUCCAUCUAAGCCACUAAGCUACGUUUAUGUUAAAUCUAAUGGUUAGUAAUAGCUAAUAAGAAAAGGACAAAAAUUGGGGAAUGAUGUCACAGGGACACCAUAGUCGGACCCAUUAUUAAUGUUUAGUGCAAGUAUUUUCUGAAAUAACAACUACAUAAUUAUUAUCUUAUGUAUCUAAUGAGAUUAUUAAUUUAGUAUAUUGGCCCAAGUUAGAAACGUAAGAUUUUGUUAUUUAAUCAAGUAUAUUAAUUUAUAAAACAUUCAUUUAUUGAGAUUUUAUUGUACAUUACAUUUGCACACUUUAUUUUUAAUGUGAAGUAAAAACUAAUGUUACAUAUGAACUUAUUGCUGACAACAUUAGUACAUAAUUGCUGUCAUAAGAAAAUUUAUCAAUCCAGGAAUUUUGGAUUUUAUAAAGUCUUACAAGUGAAAAGAGUAGUUUAUAACAUUGUAAAUGUGACCUCGACCUGGAAGCGAACUCGGCUGUCAUAAAUUGAUCAAAGCCACACUUAACUUCUACUACUACUUGCAUUGUUACCACCGUCUUCAGCCUUCUGCUUUGCCCAUUCAGAAAAAAAAAAAAAAAUUAUAUAACUUUUGUCAGCCAACAAUUAUAAUAAACUAAAAACAUGUCCAAAGAUUCAAAAUUUUUUUUUUCCCUUUUUUUGGUUUUACCUCCUCUGACAUAUCAAAUCCUAUUGCCGUGAAAAGUUUCCCUUGCAGCACAUAAUUUUGCCACAGCAUCUCUCAUCUCCAUUCGCUCAGUUGGAGACUCCAUUGAGCAGGAAACCCCAAUUCCAAUUACAGCAGACAAGCAUUGCUCAGUCCUGACUCUUAUCUCUCCAUCACUAUUUCUUGCAAUUUCCUCAGUUAGAAGUGAAGGCUCAACAAUAUUCACCACUUCUUCUGGCAAAGCCCUUUUGGCAAAUUCAUGGAGGGUUAAGCCAUCAUUGAACAUGCUGUCCGUGGGCCGCUUUCCUGUGAACAUUUCUAGCAAAAGAAUUCCGAAGCUGUACACAUCACCUCGCAUGGAGACUUCGCCACCCGUACCGUACUCUGAAAAAAACAUGUUAGAUAUAUUACUCAGUUAGUUGCCACAUAUACGAGUUCUAACAAACAGCAGAUUAAUUCAAAAAAUGUAAAAUUACAAUAUCAAAAUAUCUAUCUAAAGAGGAAUAUAUAUAAUUACCUGGAGCUACAUAACCGACUGUUCCUUUUAUCCCAAUUGAGCUUGAUUGAGAUUGAGGAGCGGCACUUAGUGGACCAUCGGAUAGAAAUCGUGCUAGCCCAAAGUCACCCACAUGGGCAACCAUGUCAUGAUCAAAAAGAAUAUUGCUGGGCUUUAGAUCACCAUGAAUUAUUGGUGGUUGACUGUGGUGGUGGAGAUACUCGAUUGCAGAAGCUACAUCAAUGGCUAUGUCCAGUCUUUGAAUGAGAAUUACACUGCACGCUUCUAGGUGAUCAUUCCUCUGAUGCAACCACUCCUCUAGACUUCCGUUUUCCAUGUAUUCGUAAACGAGAGCCUUGAAAUCAGCUCCUUUAGAAUCAAUGCUUGAGCAAAUAGUGAUGAUUUUAAUGAGAUUCCGGUGGCGAAUAUUUCUCAAGGCUUCACAUUCUGCCACAAAACUCCUGAAACCCCCUUUCUGAUUAAGAUUAAUCACCUUCACAGCAACUACCAUUCCAUUUUCACUAAAAAUUCCCUUGUAAACAAUGCCAAAGCUUCCUUGACCAAUCAUGUUUGAUGUUGAAAAUUCAUUAGUUGCCUUCCUUAGCGCCGCGUACGAGACAAAUGGGAACUUUUGUUCUAUUAGCAACGAAUUAGAAUCUUUGUGUGCUGAUCUCCUUCUUCGAGCAUAAACAACAAGAAAGCAUGCUGAUAAGAUUAAACAUGACAUAAUGACUGGAAUUAUCACUUUGACUAGGAAAGUAACUUUUGAUUUUCUUGAUCCUUUCAAAGGACAUGAUGGUAAAUGUAAUUCAUCCAACCCUCCACAAAGAUUCUCAUUCCCAACCAGUGAAAUGCUUGUCUUAUUGUGAAAAACUCCUUUUGCUGGUACCUGGCCCUCAAAAUGAUUGUAAGAAAGAUCCAAAUAUUGCAAGAAUGGUAGAUUCUCAAGAUAUUCUGGAAUCUUGCCGGACAAAUUGUUACGGGAUAGAUCUAACACUUUCAAGCUUUUCAAGGAAAUCAGAGAAAGAGGAAUCCUUCCUCCAAAGGAAUUGCCUUGCAUAUAAAGAUAUUCUAAGCUUGUACAAGCACUUAGAGUCGCAGGAAUCUCACCAAAAAAAUGGUUCAUGGAAAUAUCUAAUCGAGCGAGAUUCUUCAAGUUUCCCACCCGAAAAGGAAGAUAGCCACUGAGAAGGUUAUUAGACAAAUCUAGUUGAAAUGAAAGGGUCCUUAUUUCAAGAAUUUGUUGUGGCAAAGUUCCAUUAAGCUUAUUGUGAGAGACAAUCAAUUCCAUCAAAUUCUGACAACUUCCAAGGGAUGAGGGGAUAUUUCCUUGCAAGUUGUUGAAGUCCAAUGCAAGCUUUGUUAGUAGUGUUAGAUUACCUAGAGAGGAGGGUAUGUUCCCUUCUAAAGAGUUUCCAUACAGAUAUAGUAAUUGUAAGUUUUUAAGACUACCGAUAACAUGAGGAAUAGUGCCAAUUAAUUGGUUUAAAUGUAAAGAAAAUAAAUUUAGAUUGACAAGAUUUCCUAUCCCAAGAGGUAUGGUUCCAGAUAAUUUAUUCUCCCCCAUGUCGAUUAUGGUCAUUGUUUUUGAGAGAUUGGCUAUAAAAUGCGGCAGGUUUCCUCCAAAUUGAUUCUUACGUAACCCAAGCCAUUCCAAUUUGCUACAGUUUGUCAGGGAGAAUACAAAAUCAAGGUCAUUGCUAGCCUCAGCUCCUAAAUUAUUAGCCUCAAAACUUAGCCAAGCUAGAUCCGAAAGACCGUUAAAAUCUAUGCUCACUUUUCCUGUGAAAUGAUUUUGUCCAAGGUUAAGCUCUCUGAGAUUUGAAGCAUUGGACAAUGAAUGUGGGAUAGGUCCUGUCAGAUUGUUUUGAGCUACAAUAAGAGAUUUCAGGUUUGGAAGAUUGAAACCUAUAUUAAGGGGAAGAAUACCUUCGAGUCUGUUUGCCGGUAGAAAAAUCAUCUCAAGCGAUGAGAUGUUGUAAAUUGAAACAGGAACCAUACCGGAGAAAUUAUUUUCUUCUACGUUAAGAAACUUUAAGCUUCUUAAUUGACCAAGACUUUCAGGAAUUCUCCCGUGCAGUGUAUUCUCUCCAACAUCAAAUGCCUGCAGAGCAGAAAGAUUCCCAAUGGAAGCAGGGAGCUGUCCUCUCAAAUGAUUGACAGCAAUGGACAGUUUCUCAAGCUUCGACCAGCUGCUGUAACCGAUAUCAGCUGGAAUUUCUCCCACGAGGUUGUUUUUAUGGGAUAAAAAGUUGAUGAGGUUGGAGCAACGGGACAAAUUUGUUGGUAUUUUCCCUGAAAAAGAAUUAUUUGCCACGACUAGAGUUUCAAGUCUGGAAAGACGACCAACCUCAUCCGGAAUUUCGCCAUAGAAAUUGUUGUCUCCCAGGUGGAUUAACUUGAGGAAGCUAAGAUUGCCAACAUAAGGAGACAAGGUACCUCCUAGACUUUGGUUCCUCAGAUACAACUCGGUUACCCUUUGAUGCCGACGACCACAAGUCACUCCUGUCCACUGGCAUAAGUUUACAGAAGUGUCCCACGAACUUGUUACUUCUAGUGGAUCAUGGAACUGUGACUUUAUAGCAAGUAAUGCUAGACGAUCUGUCUCGUUUGUGUGGACAGAAAAGCUGUGUGAACUAAGCAACAAACUGAAGCACCAUAUAAGAGUUGCAAGGCUGGUAGUGGUAGUAAAAAUGGAGCUAAACAUGUUUAGCGGCUGCAGGGUAUAAGAUAAUAAGACUAAUGAAAAGCGUGGCGUGAUCGUUUGAAGUUCAUGUGAAGGGUUUUUAAAGUCGAAAAAUGAGUGUACGGUAAAAUCUCUUUAUAGUCAUAAUAUGACGAGUAAAUUAUUUUUAUGAGAAGGUUAUAAUUUAAUUAAGGUUUAGUAAAAAAAACUUAUUAUUUUGGUAUAGUUAACCUUAGUGACAUAGAGAUAAAGUAUGCUUUAUAUUAAUAAUCAAUUGCUAGACCAUGUCAAAUUGAAUAUAUAAACAUUGACAAAAGAGAUAGACAUAAUUUCAAAAAGCUAUCAUAAAUUUUUUACAAUAUAAAGGUAAUUAUUAUUAUUUUAUGGAGGCAAGUUCAUGAAGAGAAAUUUAAAAAAAUUUAGACUAUUACAAUAUAAAAUUUAGGGCUUGUUUGGGAUUGUUUUUGGGAGACUCAAGAUAUUUUGAAAAGUUAAAAAUUAAUUUUAAUAUUUGAUAUAUUUUUUAAGAAUUAGUUUUGGAAAAAUUACUCUAUCGUACAAUAGAUUUUAAAAAGUAAGGAAUAGUUUUUUAAAAGAUGAUUUUGAAAAUCAUUCUUAUAUUUAAUACAAGUUUAUAUAUAUUCUCAUUUAUAUUAUAAAAAUUCAAAAUUAUCCUUUUUAAUUAAGAAGUAGAAUCAUUAAAUUUUAAAAGAUAUUAUUACUACCACUUACAUUGAGAUAACAAAAUUAAAAUUAAAAUUAAAAUUAAUAAUAUAAAACAUUUAUUUUAGCUAUCAAUUAUUAUAUGUUAUAAAAAAAAAAAUUAUACACAUGUUUAUAAAUGUUUAAAUAAAUUUUAACUAACAUUAUAUCUAAUUGAGUCAUUUACAUGAUUACAACAAUUUAACGUCAAGAUUUACCAAAUUAAUUAUUUUUAAAAAUCACAGUACUUUUAAAAAUUUAUUUAACUAAAUGUUUAACUUAUUUCGUCGUAGCUGAUUAUUUUUAUAUUACAAUCAACAAUAAUUAUUUUAAAAGUUAUAGUAUUACCAAAUUGACUCAUAUUCUUAUUUAUAACUGAUCAAAUUGUUACCGAGAUUUUUAAAAUUAUGUGAAAAUGACUUUUAUGGAAUAUCAUUGUAAAAGAAUUUUAUCAAUACAUAUAUUUUUUUCAACUGCGGCUGCGGGAUUAGGUAAGGCUAAUGAAAGCUUUUGCUAAAAAUGUGUGGGCGGUCGUUAAAAGUCACGGGUACUUGAUUAGAUUGAUACUCGUCGUUGUUCUGAGUGCAAGUUGCCUUAGCACUUUCGUGAGUGAAUGAGAUUUUUCCUUUGUUGCUUUGGCAAGAGGUCGCUUUGGUGUGAUGUCAAUAGGGAUGGCAAUUGUAUCCGUAAAUCUGUAAAUUCGCCCAAAUCCACCCGCUAAAACCCGCUCGUUGCGGGUAAUUUUAUCCGUUGCGGGCGGGUUUAGUAUUAUAAAUUAAAACCCGCACAUGGAUGCAGGUGGGUUUUGUAUUAACCUUAUAUCCGGUGGAUACUCGCAUGGAUAUCUACCAAACCCGCAAUAUUUUUUUUCAAAUAUUUUUAAUUUAAUUUAAAUAUAAAAAUGUAUAAAGAAAAUAAUGUCAUUAAUCAAAUUACCAAAUAGACAAAGGCUCAAAGUUGUGUAUGUGUGUAUGUGGUCAAUCUCUUAUUCUAAAGUCAUAACCUAAAGAAAACUAAAGGCAUUUCCCUUCGAAUUAGUAUUUGAAAAUAUUAAUCUUAAUUAUUAUUAUAGGCAUUGUGUUGGAUGGGUGCUUAUGGUGGUGAAUGAAAUGAAUAUCUUCUCUUGGAUCUUGUUUUAAAUGAUAAUAUGAAAUGUAAUUAUUAUUUUUAGAUACUAGUUUGUGUUUUUUAAAUAGAUUUGUGUAAUUUAUACUUAAAUAUGAGAAUUUGUAUUGAAUUGAUGUGGAAAUUUUAAUUUUUCAUUGACAUUGUUUAAAUAUAAAAUUGAGUAUGCUAUAUGGAAUUUGAGGUUAUUAUUAUAAAUUUAUUUAUUAAAUAUUUGUGAUUUUAAAUACGGAAAUCCGUAAAAAAUCCGCCGGAUACCAUUGCGGGUUUGGUAAUUGUUAAAACCCACUGCGGGUGGGUUUUUUUAAAAAAAUUAAAACCCGCUGCGGGUUGCGGGUGGGUUUGAUAAUUUAAAUUUUGUGCGGGUUUGGGUUUGGUAAUGACAAACCCGCUGCGGGCGGUGUCCAUUGCCAUCCCUAGAUGUCAACUUGUGAAAUAGUCAAAGGGUCUUUGGGUCUUUGCUACCUUUACAUCGUAUGCAAAGAUUUGACAAGUGAGCAAUUAGAAUUUCUCGACCUUUACGAUAGAGAAAAGCGAAAACAGUUCCCGUCCGGUCACACAACUGGCUUCAAGAGUUCCUCGCUGGUUGCAAAAAUUAAUUUCUUUUUAAUCUUUGCAAUUUGUUACAUAAAUAAAAAAACAAUUUUUGAAAUAAAAAUGAUAAAUAUAGUUGAACCUCAAUGAAUUGAUUACCAGGAUUAAAUAAUAGUUUUUAUUGGUCUCAAAUUGGGUCAACAUAUUAAAUUAAUAAUUUGAUAAAUUUAUUAAUAAUAAAAAUAAAUAUUUUAUAUUUACUAAAAUAUUAAGACUGAUCUACUAUAUAAAUUAAUAAUUUAUUAACUUGAAACUAAGGUACUGUUUAUUUUUUAAUUUAAUGACUUAAUUGAUUAAUUUUAAUUAAACCAUUGAAUCUUUUCAUUUUUUUCAACCUAAUGAAAAUUUAAUGUAAAUUGUGCAAAUUCUUGUAGUAUUAAGGGAAAAAGAUAUCUAUACCCGAAGGUUUAGAGAAAAAGUCAAGUAAAUCCUUAAGUUUUCAAUAAGGAAUAUCAAAACUCCCUUUAAUUGUAAUAUCUUUUGUAAAUAGUAAUUAAAAUUUUACUUCAAAAUUUUUAAUAAACACAAAUAUAAUUUAAACAGUUUAAUUUGUCAAGUAGACUAAUAAUAUUAGGAUAUUUUUAAUAUAUAAUAUAAUUUUUUAAAUGUAAAUUAGUGUAUUUAUUUUAAUAAUAUAUGUUAUUUAUUAUAAAAUUUUAAUUAAAUGUUUCGGUUAAAUUGAUUUUAUAAUUAAUAAAAUAUAUCUCAUGUAUUCAUAAUAUCUAAAUUAUUUUAUAUAAUAUUCAAAAUAAUGUAAAUUUUUAAGAAAUUUGUUAUAAAAUUUAGUUUAAUAUAAUAUAAGAUUGUAAAAUAUUAAAAUAUUUUUUAAAUAUUAAAAUUACCUUAAAAUGUUUAUAUUAUUAUAUUUAUUUUAAUAUUAUAUUUCUAUUUAAUAUAAAACAUUAGAGUUAAUUUUUUUGAAUUAAUAGAAUCAAAAGUUAUUAUAAUCAAAAAAGAAUUUUAAUAUCUUUUAUUAAGAACUUGAAAUCUAUAUGAUUAUUUUUCUAAAUUUUGAAGGUUUAAAUAUCAUUUCUCAUAUUAUUAAUGUCGCUUUAAAAUAGAGUACCCAAUAUUUUUAGUUCACUGAUUUCGGUCACUUGCUUUUAUAUUCAAACCAUUGCCUCCAGCUGGCCACCAAUUAUUGAAAAACAUUUUGACUCAUUACAGCCUGUUAUUAGUUUUGGUCAUAUUAUUUUCCAUCAUUCGGUUAUAGAUUUUCACAUCUAACGAUUCGUAACUAUUCUUAGGUCAUAAAUAGUAUUGAAGUAUUAUAACUUGUAAGUUAUAGUUAUUAUAAAAAAAGUAUAAUAAUGAAAUAAUAAUUUAUAAUUUAUAAUAAAUAUAAUUUUUAAAUAAUAAUUUUAAUAAAAAUAUAAUAAAAUUAUUAAAUUUUUUCAUCAUGUAAGUAUAAAAUUAAAUUAAUUUAAUUUUUAAACUAUAAUAGUUAGUAUAUUUUAUAGAUGUCCAAUCUCAAUUUUAAUCACAACCUUAAUAAUAUAAGUUAGCCAUGGCCAAAACAUCAAGUAUCAAUUAUCAAACCUGCCGUGUACGCUAUGUUUAAGUCUAGCUUGUGUGGAAUUUGUUUGUCCAUGUAUUUUAUAGACUUCAUUGAUCCAAUCCAAUCUUUUUUCCUGUGGAAAACCCUCUUUUUCCACAAAUCAAUUAAAUCAAUCGUCGAAUUAAAUACUAGACGGCGAUGUUGGUGUAAAUAUUUGAAGAUGAAGCCACGUUUGGAAGACAUGUCCGCAUGUUCAAUAAAUGCAAAAACAGCCAGUUCUGUGCAUGGCUUUAAUGCAUGCAUUGAGAGUAGUAACUUCCACAUGAUGGCAAGUUGACGAUUGGCAAUUGGUGGUCCUUUUGUCAAGAUUUGCUUGAGAUAGCGGCUGUUUCACUAGAUUUUUUACCGUAAAGUUUGAUUUCUCAAGCCAUCCUGAUACUAUAAAGAGAGCUUAAUAUAUUCGAGAGAGUAAAUCAUCCCGUUUGCUUGGGGUAAAAGUUUAUUUAAUUUUUAUAUUUUAAGAUUAGUAUUUAUUUAGUUUUUAUAUUUUUAAAAAUGUCUUAAAAUAUCUUUACUGUUAAAGUAUUGAUACUCCUACUGUUAUUUUUUAUUUCUUUUAGUUUACUUUUACAAUAUUACUCUUUUAUAAUAAUUUUUUUAUUUGGACAUUAAUUAAAAAAUAAUUAAAUUACCAAUUUAACUCUAAAAAAAAUUACAUUAAUUUUUAAUUGUCAAAAAUUAAAUUGUCAAAAAAGUCAAAAAUUAUAUGCAAACUACCAAGUGUGCAAAUGGUGCUUGUAAAAAAAAUUAAUAAAUUUUUUAUUUUUAUUUUUUAGGGUUAAAUUGAUAAUUUAGUUAUUUUUUUUUAUUAAUGUCCAAACAAAAAAAUUAUUAUAAAAGAGUAAUAUUAUAAAAGUAAGUCAAAAGAAAUAAAAAAUAACGGCAUGGAUAUUAAUACUUUAACGGUAGAAAUUUGAGAUAUUUUAAAAAAUAUAAAAAUUAAAUAGACACUAAUCAUAAAAUAUAUAGAUUAAAUAACGUUUGCGAGAGUUGCGAGCAUUUAAAUAUUGAUGGCCAAACAGAUCAGCUGUCAACAACUCAUUCCAAUAAUCCCAUGUGAGUAAUUCACAUUGAGUACUGCACCCGACGCCUGUUUCUCUACUUUUCAUGUUAACAUUAUUUUCAGUAGCAGCUGGUUACGUAGGCAACAUUUCAAAAUUAAUUAAAAAAUAAAAAUUAGUUCAGCUGACUAAAUUUGAGAGAAUGAAUUUACUGUUGGUUAAAAAUUAUUUUGCAGCAAAAUUUUUGAAUCGUAACUCUUUUACAAUAUAUAGAAUUAUCAUAAUUUAUAAAUUACAUCUUUGCUUUUUUUUUUUUAUAGUAAUUCAUAUUUUCAAGUUACGAUUUAAAUUGAAAAAAUAAAAUUAUAAGUAAGAAUUGUUUUAUGAGAAUUAAAAUAAUUGAUAAAUAACUGAGAGGGAUAAUUUUAGAAGAUUUAAAUUCUAAUAUAAUAACAAUUUUAAUUUUUCACCAGUAAGGAAUCGAAAAUCACAAUUUAUUAGAUUAGCACAUAAAAUAAUUGAGUAUUCAGAAUAAUUUUUGAAGUACAAAUAAUUGGACCCUAAUAUUUUUAAUAUAUGAAAAUCUUACUAAUAUGUUGAUGAGAAUUAAAUUAAUAAUUAAGGGAGACAUUAAGACAUUUAGAAUAGUUGAGAUGAGACGGGAUUUUGCGUUAUCCGAGAUUGAUCCUAAUUUUGAUCACACAUAUAUUAAAAAGACGAGUUUCGGUCCAUAAUUAUGUGCCAUUUGAGUAAUUAAAAUGGGAAUGUGAUUGUCGAAUUCCAAACAUUCCCGAACCAUUGCCAUCUUUACCCAAAACACUAAAAAUAUCUAAAGAAAAGUCUGCACCUAUUACAUUUUUUUUUAUCAAAUAGGAAAGAGCCCUCACGCGGCUUGAACUGGUAUCCUAAAUAAUUUUAAGAGUAUCAGACCAUGAUUGGGUUUGUGACAAAUAAAUUACAUAUUUGAGGUACAUAGUUAUUGGUGUCCUAGUUUAGGUGGCACCUACCAUUUAUUGCACAUAUAAGGUAUUAAUUGACUUAAUUAAUAAAUAAAGUUUAAAAUCUAAUUAAUUAGCGACAGAAAUGCCAAGUACAGUAUAUGUAAAUCAUAUUUGUCGAUUAUCACAAAACUAGCUCUUGAAAAUAAGUAAGAAAGCUUAAUUUGUUGAAAUGAACUCAAACUCGUAAAUCGAUCUGUCGUCUAAAGGUUGGAAAAAUGAGUGAUAUGUCAUUUCAAGCUGAUCAUGGAUCCAUAACCGACAACUUGGUGCUGUUGUCCAAGGUCGUUAAACUCUCAGGUGAGUAACAUACGCCUGUCUUAAGUCUAAACGGCACGCCUUGUCGUCGUUUUAGGAAGGGUUUAAGUUUCACGUGAAACGCUCUUGAUCAAGCAGUUAAGUUUGUUGGUUUUGGAGGGAAUCAUCUGGAUCUGUAACACCAGCAGUAGCUGAUAGAUAUGCUGGUUCUGGUUUCAUCCAGAUCGAUUGAAGAGAGAGUGAUAAGGAAGCAUUAGAGAGAGUGAAACUUUUCUGGGUGUUCUCUAUAUUGUGUUUGUCACCUCUAUAACCAUUGAAGCUUAAUAAAAUUACUCCAUGAGUUGUUUUCUCCAGUGCACGUAGGCACUGUUAAAGGUGCUGAACCACUUAAGUCUUUGUGUGUUCUUAAUUCUUUCUGUUGAUUUUCCUUUGAUCUGGUGAUUGCUACGACUUGCUUAGACUUGGUUCUUAAAUCUUAGAGUCUUAAUUAGAUCUUGGGGUGAGAUAAAUCUGGUGUAAAGAGGGUUUGUUUCAAAACAAUUGGUAUCAAAGCUUUAAUUCUGAUUCCAAGGUUCAAGAAUGGCUUCAAAGGUGGAUAUUGAGAAGUUUACAGGGCAGAAUGACUUUAAUAUGUGGAAGAUCAAGAUGGAGGCUUUGUUGAUCACUCAGGGUCUGGGAGAUGCCAUAGAUCCAUCUCUAAACUUGAAGGAAAUGAAGCUUCAUCAUCCAAGACCCCAGAACAAGCAGUAGAGAGACAAGAAUGCUAGAAGCACAAUUAUUCUAAGUCUGGGUGACUCUGUAAUCAGAAAAGUGGCAAAAGAAAAGACUGUUGCUAGUUUAUGGGCCAAGUUGGAGAACUUGUAUAUGACAAAGUCUUUAGCUAAUAGGCUUUACAUGCAAGAAGAAGAUGUUCUCACUGAAGAUGAUUGAAGGAGCAUCACUUGAUGAGCAUAUAGAUGAGUUCAAUAAGGUUUGUGAUGAAUUGGAAACCAUUGAUGAAGGACUGAGUGAUGAGAGCAAGGCUCUGCUGUUAAUCAGUUCUUUACCAAAGUCGAGCACUUUGUGGAUGCCUUGUUAUAUGGGAGACAAACACUCUCUCUGGAAGAGGUUAAAUCUACUCUUGGCACCAAGAAGUUGAAAGACAAGCAAGAUAAUCCAGAAAGUGAAUCAAGUGAGGGGUUGAUGGUUAGAGGCAGAUCUGAAAAGAGGGAAAACAAGGGAAAGAAACAAGGCAGAUCAAAGUCCAAAUAGAAGCAUUUGAAGUGUUUUCAUUGCCAUAAAGAAUGGCAUUUCAAAAGAGAUUGCCCUGAAAGAAAGAACAAAAAUAAAAAAAACCAAGGAAAAGACAAGAAGUGCAGCCAUAGCCACAAAAUAUGCAAGCUUUGAAAUAGUUGGAGUGCUCAUUGCCUCAAAUGAAAAACUUCAAGGUCAUUGGGUUCUUGACUCAGGUUGUACCUUCCAUGUGUCCAAAUAGAAGCUACAUUACUACAUAUCAGCUGUGUGAUGGGGUAUGAUUUUAAUGGGUAAUAACUAAAUGUGUAAAGUGGUUGGUAUUGGGAUUGUUAGCCUUAAAAAGUUUGAUGGUGUGGUGAGGGAAUUAACACAGGUUAGGUUUGUUCCUGACUUGAAAAGAAACUUGAUCUCAAUUGGCAUGCUAGAUCUAAUAGGUUGUGUCAUUAGGGCUAAAAAAAUAAGUGUUGAGGAUAAUUAAAGGCUCAAUGGUGAUUAUGAAAGGUAUAAAAGAAAAUAGCUUAUAUGUGUUGGAUGGACAUACUGUUGUUGGAGAGGCAAGUGUAACUGGCAGUGGUGGGAACAAAUCAGUGUUGUGGCAUUUUAGGCUGGGGCAGAUGAGUGAGAGAGGCUUAAAAGAAUUACAAUGGAACAUUGAGGACAGAUAAUGGCUUGGAGUACUGUAAUAAGUUGUUUGAAGGAGUAUUGCGAGGAGAAUGGGAUUUAGAGGCACAAAACUAUCACUUAUACUCCUCAACCAAAUGGCCUUGCUGAGAGGAUGAACAGAACCUUGGUGGAGAAAGUAAGGUGCAUGUUGAUCUACUCUAAACUUCUAAAAACUCUAUAGGCAGAAACUUUAAACACUGUAUGCUAUCUAGUCAAUAGGAGCCCAUCAACUGCCAUAGGAUGUAAAAAACCAAUGGAACUGUGGUCAGGAAGAAUAGCUGACUAUUCAAAACUCAAAAUCUUUGACUGUAUAGCAUAUGCUCAUGUAAAGUAAGGUAAAUUGGAACCAAUAGCAUUAAAGUGUAGGUUUCUAGGGUAUCUAGAAGGUGUCAAAGGCUAUAGAUUGUUGUGUGUUGAUUCCAAGCCACCUCAGUGUAUAAUAAGUAGAUAUGUAACUUUCCAUGAAGAUGAGAUCUUGAAUCAAUCAAGGAGUCCUAUCAACGGCUCUAAAUUAGGCGCUGAGUCUAAUAAAGUGAAGUUUCAAGUGGAGCCUCAUACCUUGAAAAAGCUUGAUCUAGAAAUUAAGAGUGCUAAAAAAGAACUUAAAGCUGGUGUUAAGCAUGAAUCAGUAGAAAGUGAAGAGGACACCUAUCAAUUGGCAAGAGACAGAAAGAGAAAGAUUAUUAGACCACCUAAGAGAUAUGCAAUGGCUGAUUUAAUUGCAUAUGAUUUGAUUGCUAUUCAAAAGUUGAAUGAUGAUGAACUAGGACUUAUCAAGAAGCUAUCACAAGCAAAAGCAAGCUGGAAUGGAGGAAGGUAAUGGAUGAGGAAAUGACAUCUCUAAUAAAGAAUAAAACUUGGGAAAUGAUUAUAAAACCAGAAAAGAGGAAGAUAGUAAGCUAUAAAUAAAUCUUCAAGAUAAAAAGAAGGGAUAUCUGGUGCUGAGCCUAGAAUAUUUAAACCUAGACUGGUGGCAAGGGGUUUCACACAAAAGGAAGGUAUUGACUUCACUGAAGUUUUUUCCCCAGUGGUGAGACAUGCUUCCAUCAAAAUUAUUCUUACACUUGUUGCUAUUCAGGACAUGUAUCUUGAGCAAAUGGAUGUCAAAACAGCUUUUUUGCAUGGUAAGUUACAAGAAUAGAUUGUAAUGCAGCAGCCAGAGGGGUAUGUGGUUUUUGGUAAAGAAGAUCAUGUUUGUUUACUUAAGAAGUCUCUAUAUGGUUUGAAGCAAUCACCUAGACAAUGGUAUCUGAGGUUUGACAGCUUCAUGAUAACACAUGCCUUUAAUAGAUGCAGUUAUAAUUUUUGUGUGUAUUUCAAGAAGAUAAGUGGAGGAAGGAUGAUAUAUCUCUUAGUGCAUGUAGAUGAUAUGCUAAUUACAUGUCAUGACAAGAAAGAAAAUGAUCAUAUGAAGAAACUCUUAAGCAGGGAAUUUGAAAUGAAGGAACUUGGGGAACCUAAGAGGAUUUUAGGGAUGGAUAUUAUCAGGGAUAAGAGUAAGAAGGUUUUGUUUUUAACUCAAUAGAGCUACAUUAAAAGGGUUCUGGUGAGGUUUGGAAUGAAUGAUGCUAAGCAAGUGCAGACACCAUUGGCAAACCAUUUCAAGUUGUCUGCUGGAUAGUGCCCCCAAACUGAUGCAGAACCACAAAAAAUGGCUUGUAUACCCUACUCAAGUGUUGUGGGUAGCCUCAUGUACGCCAUGAUACUCACCAGGCCUGAUAUCUCACAUGUUGUGAGUAUGGUAAGUCGGUUUAUGGCAAAUCUAAGCUAUGAACAUUGGAAAGCUAUUCAGUGGAUUAUGAGAUACCUCAAAGGGACUUUGGAGGUUAGUUUGAUUUAUGGUGGAAAGGAUAGCAAUGGACAUACAUUGAUUGGUUAUGUAGAUGUUGACUUUGUUGGUGACCUUGAUAAAAAGAGGUCACAAAUAGGGUAUAUGUUUACUCUAGGGGGUUGCACAGUUAGCUGGCAAGCAACAUUACAGAACAUAGUGGCUUUGUCCACUAUAGAGGCAGAGUAUACUGCAGCAGUUGAAGCCUUUAAAGAAGCCAUUUGGCUGAAAGGCAUGAUAACUGAGCUAGGAGUUGAGCAAGGGACUGUAACAGUAUACAGUGAUAGCCAGAGUGCCAUACAUCUCAGUAAAAAUCAAACUCAUUACGAGAAGACAAAACAUAUAGAUAUUAAGUUGCACUUUGUGAGACUUGAAGUGUCAAGGGGGACUGUUAAGUUGCUGAAAAUUCAUACUGAAGAAAAUCUAGUAGACAUGUUAACCAAGGUUGUGCCCACUACCAAGUUCAUCCUUUGCAUGUAUUUAGCAAGAAUCUGCAGGUUUUAAGAAGCUGCAGAUGAGGAGAAAACAAACAGAGAAGAGGGAGUUAUGAGUGUUGAGUUCAAGGUGGAGAUUGUUGAAAUAAACUCAAAUGAACUCAAACUCGUUAAUUGAUUUGUCGUUUAAAGGUUGGAAAAACGAGUGACAUGUCAUUUCAAGCUGAUCAUGGAUCCAGAACCGACAACUUGGUGCUGUCGUCCGAGGUCAUUAAACUCUCACGUGAGUAACAUAUGCAUGUCUUAAGUCUAAACAGCACGCCUUGUCGUCGUUUUAGGAAGGGCUUAAGUUUCACGUGAAAGGCUCUUGAUCAAGCAGUUAAGUUUGUUGGUUUUGGAGGGAAUCAUCUGGAUCAGUAAUGCCAGCAGCAACUGAUAUAUAUGAUGGUUCUGGUUUCAUCUAGAUCGAUUGAAGAGAGAGUGAUAAGGAAGCAUUAGAGAGAGUGAAACUUUUCUGAGUGUUCUCUGUAUUGUGUUUGUCACCUCUGUAACCAUUGAAGCUUAAUAAAAUUACUCCCUGAGUUGUGUUCUCCAAUGGAUUUAGGCACUGUUAAAGGUGCUGAACCACUUAAGUCUUUGUGUUCUUGAUUCUUUGUGUUGAUUUUUCUUUGAUAUAGUGAUUGUUACGACUUGCUUAGAUUUGGUUCUUAAAUCUUAGAGUCUUAAUUAGAUCUUGGGGUGAAAUAAAUCUAGUGUAAAGAGGGUUUGUUUCACAACAUAAUUAAUAACUUAAAAUUAAAGGAAUUAGAUUGAGAAUAGUUUUUUUUUUAGGAUGGAGGCUCCUAAAUGUUCAAGAAUCAUUAUGUGCUUAUUAAAAUUUCAAAAUCAUUUGGAUUAUGACAUAGCAAAAAUUUGAUAGUACAUAUGUUGGAAUACAUCAAUUCAUAGAUGCAUUUGAUUAUUGUUUUCAUAAAUUUUAACUAGGAAGGAUGACAUGAUAAAAUUUGAUUUUAUUGUAUGGUUGAUUUCAUAUUUCAUGUGCUCAUUUCUUAAUAUAAUCAAAUUUGAUCUCGCAUAUUUUGCAACUGUAUAAAUAUCAAUUAUGAUCAAUCAAAAUGAUUUCAACACGUUUCAACCAGACAUAUUUAUAAUACAAUAUUGUCAAAAUUACACCAAAAAUUUAGUUUAUUACAUAUUAUUAUCCAAUGAGCACACAAAAAUGAAUUUGUACAAAUUUAGUUUUGGGAUGCUGUAGCUCUUAAAAUAAUUGUUGUUAGUUGUGCUGUAGAAAUAAUUUGCUGUGAAAAGAAUCAAUUAAUUGUUGGGUAAAUUUUAUUUUCAGAAAUACUGUGAGUUUUGAAAACAGUUAUGGAAGUUUGGUAAAUUUUACUGUUAAACUGCUGAAAGAAAACAAAUGAUUAAAAUGUAUAUAAUGUAGAAUAAAAUUUACUUAUACAUAUAAAAACAUGUACAUAUAAUAUUUUUAAUUAUGUAUUAUACUAAUUUUUACUAAAAAUAAAAUUUAUAAUAUAUUGAUUUUUUUAUAUUUUAACCUUAAAACAACUGUUAAUUAAAUUUAUAAUAUAGUGAAACAAGUUUAAUAAUAAUUCGAUCAACAAAUUGAUAUUAAUAAAUUUAUAUUGAUGAAUUACAAUAAAAAUUUAUUAAAAUAUUAUUUUUUUUUCAAUUUGAAUAAGGAUAAUUUUGGAUUUAGAUAAUAAUUUUGAGGAUAUUUAUAAAAUUAUAUUAAAUGAUAAAUUAAUUCUCAAAAUUAGAAUCUAAAAAAUACUCCAUCCCUACUUUUCAAAAUCAACUAUAGGAAAAGUUGAUUUUGACAGAAAUAAUUUUAAUUUUUUUACUAAAUACUAAAAUUAACUUUUAAUUUUUUAAAAUUACUUUAAAACCCAAAUUCAAAACGACCCUUAAACCAAUUUUGCAAAAGCAGCCGUUACAUGUAUCACCAACUUUUUAACAGUCAGCUGCUUUUGUGACCGUUAUGCAACGGCUAGAUUGCUGUCACUUAUGUUACUAACCACGUGACGGUAAAGAGCCAAUUGGCAUACUAUUAUUUUAAAGUUUUAAAUUUGUUUCUAAAUAGAAAAUUAUUCGCUGGAGUCAAUAUUUUGAAAACCAAAGUCCUAAAUUCUCUCUUGUGCGUGCCGGGCCAGCAUCCUAAACCUUACUGGUUGCCGGAGAAUGGCGUAAAACGGCGGUGAUCUUCUUCUUCAUCUUAUUCUCUCUCAUCGUUUCAGGUAAGCUUGUGAUUAUGAGUUUCUUGUCUUUCUUAGCUUGUAAUUAUAGAUUUUGAUUUUUUAAUUCGUAUUGUAGCCGUUAAUGUAAAUUUUUGUCCCGCUGGCAAAUUUUUUUGUUCCUACAAGUUGAAGCCCUUCUGUUCUUGUUCCAUUAGUGACUUUGCUCCCUCAAAUUAAUUUCGUUCGGCGGAAUUUACAAAGUUCAAAUGGAUUCAUUUGGAUUACUAUUGAAUUUAGCUUUCAUUUCUGUAGAAUCACUGUACAUAUUAGCAUUUAGAUUUUAUUGAUUUAUUAUUUUAUUACCUAAUAAGGAGAUUUAGUUGUUGACUAAUUCUAAUUUUAGUUAGUCUCAUAAUUUAGUGGGAUUCCUGAUUUGAAGGAAUUUGCUUCUGAUUUAGUGAGCUGGAAUACCGGCCAGCUUAAUAUAUAUGUAUCCUCAUGUAGUUCAUUGGAAUAAGACUGAAUGAGAAUAACUCUUUUUCUCUGAAAUUAACAUGGUAAAAAAGCCUCAUACGAUCCUCCUCUGAAAACCUAAUCUUGUGAAUUUCAUUCCCUAUUCUCAUUCCAAUCAAUACCUUACAAAUCUUCUAUCCUUCAAGCUUUCAUCUGCAAUAUUUUUUUUUCUCGAUUCCUCUAAACCAAAACAUGACAAAAAUAGGAGCAGCGUUGCAAACCUCCUCCUCUGAGAUCACGUCUAAAUCAGAUUCAACCCCGAUGAUAGCCACUCAUGGUAACUCCGAAUCUGGAUCCAUUCUUAUUGCCAGCUAUAAAUUAAAUGGACAGAACUACCUCCAAUGGUCCCAAUCUGUGUUAAUGUUUAUUUCCGGGAAAGGUAAAGAUGAAUAUCUCACCGGUGAGAUUGAAAUUCUUGAGAAAGGAGAUCCAAAAUACAGGCUAUGGAAGAGUGAUAACAUCAUGAUUAUGUCAUGGCUGAUAAAUUCCAUGAACAAUGAUAUAGGUGAAAAGGAGACAUACUCAAGUUCUGAGAACACAGCAGAACUAUUCCAAAUUGAGAUUAUCUUGCACGAUUUCCGUCAAUAGAAUCUCUCUGUCACACAGUAUUUCAACACUCUAACAAGGCAUUGGCAGCAACUUGAUAUGUUUGAUACUCAUACAUGGAAGUGUGCAGAUGAUGCAGUCACUUACAAAAAAAUCGUGGAGCAAAAAAGGAUCUUCAAAUUCCUAUUAGGAUUAAACAAGGAGUUGGAUGAAGUAAGGGGACGAAUUAUGGGGACUAAACCACUGCCCAAUAUUAGAAACUUGUUCUCUGAGGUUAGGCGUGAAGAAAGCAGGCGCAAGGUGAUGAUGUGAUCUCAAGAAGUUACAACUAAUCCGUCACUGCUUGACAGUUCUGCGCUUGCUGUCUGAGGAACCAACACUAGCUCCAAUGACAAUCGUCAACAACGAGGAAGGCCCUGGUGCGACCACUGCCGCAAGUCUGGACACUGGAAAGAAAGUUGUUGGAAACUUCACGGGAGACCAGCUGAUUGGAAGCCAAACAAGCCUAACUAUGAUAAAGAAAGCCGUGCUAAUGCAGCUUCAUCAACGGAGGAGAAAACUUCAAGUGAAACAAGUGGAUUCAGCAAAGAACAAAUGGAAAUUCUGUAGAAAAUGAUCUGCCAUAGUCUUUCGCAAUCUACUAGCCAACUUUAAGCAAUUAGUAUGAAGGCACAGUGAACUAGUUUUCCUGUUGCUCUUAAUACUAGCAGUGACCAAGGUGAAUCAUGGAUUGUAGACUCUGGCGCAUCCGACCAUAUGACAGGGGAUGCAACACUCUUGCACAAUUACUGUCCUCAAACGAGUAAUUCUUCUGUUCGUAUAGCAGAUGGUUCUCUCUCCUUGGUCUUGGGAAUAUGAUCUGCUCAUCUAACAGAAGAUAUAAUUCUCACCCCUGUUCUUCACGUUCAAAAUCUGGACUGUAAUUUACUUUCAGUUAGCAAAUUUAGCCAAGAUCUUAAUUGUGUUGCUAAAUUUUUUCCACGCUUGUGUGAAUUUCAGGGAAUGGAAUCGGGGAAGACGAUUGGCAGUGCUGAGUUGGUGUCAGGUCUCUACCUAUUUAGAGCCAAUUAUCCUCCAAGUAGACAAACUGGUUACUCAAGUUGCAACAUGUCCACUAGUGUAUCAAAGAGUCUGUUGUCACUUCAUUCUUCUAUUUUCAAUUCUAGUGUUAAUAAUGUGGAUGAAAUCAUGCUAUGGUACUUUCGCCUCGGCCAUCCCAACUUUGUGUAUCUAGGAAAAAUAUUUCCUAAACCGUUCAUCAAUAAAAAACCAAAUUCAUUUCAUUGUGAAAUAUAUCAAUUUGCUAAACUUACACGUGCAAAUUUUCCUUCAAUUCCUCACUUACCUACCCGUCCAUUCACCAUGAUUCAUAGUGAUGUAUGGGGUGCAUCAAGAAUUAAAAGCCUCACGGGGGCUCGCUGGUUUGUGUCUUUUGUGGAUGAUCACACUCGUCUGACUUGGAUAUUUCUCAUGAAAGAAAAAUCUGAAGUUAACCAUAUCUUCCAGAAAUUUCAUAUGAUGGUCCAAAAUCAGUUCAAUGCUCAAAUCCAAGUCUUUAAAACCGACAAUGCUAGAGAAUACUUCAAGUCCCAUCUUUCACAUCAUGGCAUAAUACAUACUAGCUCAUGUGUAGAUACCCCUCAGCAGAACGAAGUGGUUGAAAGAAAAAAUCGCCACCUUAUUGAGGUAGCUCGGGCACUCUUAUUUACAUCUAAUAUGCCGAAGUAUUUCUAGGGUGAGGCAAUCCUUACUGCGGCUUACCUAAUCAAUCGAAUGCCUUCUAGGGUUCAUAAAUUUCAAAGUCCUCAUCAAGUUCUCCUCAAAACAUAUCCUCACACCAAAUUUAUCUCCUUAGAUGUUCCUAUAAGAGUUUUUGGGUGCUCAGCCUUUGUUCAUAAUCAUUUCCCAAAUAGAUCCAAAUUAGAUCCUAAAUCCAUCAAAUGUGUCUUCUUAGGUUACUCAUCAAACCAAAAGGGUUACAGAUGCUACUCUCCCAUUACCAAAAGGGUCUACAAUUCAAUGGAUGUCACUUUCUUUGAACAUGAAUCUUAUUACCCAAAAUCUGACAUUCAGGGGGAGAAUGUAAGGGAAUCUCAAUUUUGGGAUGAACUUCUCAUCAAAGAAUCCUCUGAAAUUUAGCAUGCAUCUCCACCUCUUGUCCUUCUUCCCUCAGAUUCAAACUACACACCAAACCCCAACCUUGAAAUUCCAUCGUCUAACAGUCCAUCAUCCUCAAAACAUAGGUCUACACAACUUGAAUCUUCCCAGCUCCGUGUCUAUACUAGGAGGAAAAAUGAAAACAAGGAGAGUGAGAACCUUGCACCUCUCAUGCAUUGCCAUGACUCCAACCCGAAUUCUAAUCCUGCUCAAGUUCACUCAAGUGAGGCCGAUCAUUCUCCUGAGUUAAUUGUGCCGAUGAUUGAUGAUGCUGAUGUUCCUAUUGCUCUAAGGAAGAGUGUAAGAUCCUGUACCAGUCAUCCGAUUGAAAAUUUUGUGAGCUAUAACUCUCUUUCUCCAGCAUACAGGGCAUUCAUUACUUCCCUUGACAGUGUACAAAUUCUGAGAACUAUUCAUGAGGCUCUUAAACAUCUAGGAUGGCAGAAAGCUGUACAGGAUGAGGUUACUGCACUUGAAAAGAAUAGAACAUGGGUAAUCACAGAUUUACCAGCUGGAAAAAGACCAGUAGGUUGCAGGUGGAUAUUUACCAUCAAACACAAAGUAGAUGGAAGCAUUGAAAGACUCAAAGCUCGGUUAGUUGCUAAGGGAUUUACACAAUCUUAUGGUAUUGACUAUCAAGAAACUUUUGCUCCAGUUGUCAAACUUAAUACCAUCCGAGUACUCCUUUCACUUGCUGCUAAUUUUGAUUGGUCAUUACAUCAACUAGACAUUAAGAAUGCUUUUCUAAAUGGCGACCUUGAAGAAGAAGUCUAUAUAGAAGUGCCACCUGGGAUAGAAAGUUCUCACACUAAAAGCAAGGUAUGUAAACUGCUAAAGUCUCUCUAUGGACUCAAGCAAUCUCCUCGUGCAUGGUUUGGUAGGUUUGCCAAGUUUGUGACCAAAUGUGGGUAUAAACAGUGCCAAUCAAAUCAUACCUUGUUUGUUAAGUUCUCAACAAAGAAGAAAAUUGCAGUUUUGAUCGUCUAUGUUGAUGAUAUCAUUCUUACUGGUGAUUUUGAGGAAGAAUUACAGUUUUUGAAACACCGUUUAGCUCAGGAAUUUGAUAUUAAGGACCUCGGUAAUUUAAAAUACUUCAUUGGCAUGGAGAUAGCAAGGUCAAGAGAAGGCAUUGCAGUGACCCAACGAAAAUAUGUAUUGGAUUUGUUGAUGGAAACAGGGAUGCUCGGCUGUAAACCAGCAGAUACACCCAUGGACUCAAGCAAAACGUUUGGCACAGAAUCAGAGAGUGUUCUUGUGGACAGGGGGAGAUACCAGAGACUUGUUGGACGGCUAAUCUAUCUCUCCCAUACAUGCCCAGACAUUGGAUUUGCUGUCAGUUCAGUGAGUCAAUUCAUGAACAAUCCAAGGGAAGAGCAUAUGGAGGCCGUGUAUAGGAUCUUAAGGUACCUUAAGUUGACACCUGGGAAGGGAUUAAUGUUCAGGAAAAACAACAAACGGGAGAUUGAUGUAUACACUGAUGCAGACCACGCAGGGAACAUAAUGGACAGGCGCUCUACUUCUGGCUAUUGUUCAUAUGUUUGGGGAAAUCUUGUUACAUGGAGAAGUAAGAAACAGUCGGUUGUCUCUCAAAGCAGUGCAGAAUCUGAGUUCAGAUCAUUGGCAAUGGGUAUUUGUGAAGGUAUUUGGAUUCAUCAAUUACUUAGAGAGUUGGGAAUUAUAAAUAAGCAACCUAUCAGGUUAUUCUGUGAUAACCAGGCAGCAAUCAGCAUUGCUAAAAACCCAGUGCACCAUGAUAAGAUGAAACAUGUUGAGAUUGAUCACCACUUCAUCCUAGAGAAGAUCGAAAAUAACACUGUCCAUAUUGUCUACAUUCCUACUCAACAUCAAACUGCAGACAUCCUUACUAAAGCUCUUCCAAGAACUAGAUUUGAAGAAUUGAGUUGCAAACUAGGCAUGUACAAUUUGUACAACCCAGCUUGAGGGGGAGUGUAGAAUCACUGUACAUAUUAGCAUUUAGAUUUUAUUGAUUUAUUAUUUUAUUACCUAAUAAGGAGAUUUAGUUGUUGAUUAAUUCUAAUUUUAGUUAGUCUCCUAAUUUGGUGGGAUUCCUGAUUUGAAGGAGUUUGCUUCUGAUUUAGUGAGCUGAAAUACCGGCCACCUUAAUAUAUAUGUAUCCUCAUGUAGUUCAUUGGAAUAAGACUGAAUGAGAAUAACUCUUUUUCUCUGAAAUUAACAAUUUCUAUAUUCAUUCUAAUGUUUUACAAUUAUGUAUUUAUAUUUACUUUAAUUUUAUGUUUAAAGCUUCUACAUUGAAUAGCUGAGCUUGGGUCUUAGUUUCAUUUUCUAAUUAACUUGUUUUAGUUUAUCUUAUAUGCUCACCAAGGGCUUGUUAUAUUGUCUGAUAAGUUAUAUAACAUUGCUAAUUCUAUAUUAAUAACGUCAUGUUUUAUUUUCAGAAAUUAUAAUAUAAAAGUUUUUACAAUGGCAAGCAUCUACAAACUGAAUUGACUUGUAGAAUAAGAGCUUCGAGUAGUGUUAUGAUCUUGAAUAAAUGAAAGUUCAUAUUGUGUAAGAGCAUGUAGAUGUAAAACAUCAUUACCAUUUCUACAAAGUGCUUUCAUUCUGUUCAGAUGCUCCUCUUGAACUUUGAAACGUGCCUCAUUCAAGUCCUGGCUAUAACUACUAGCUAUAUUGAAAGUAUUUGAAAACUUUUUUAACAUGAAUGACUUCUAAAUGACUUACAAACCUAAAGCAUAUGUGAAAUAAUGCUCAUUUCACUUGAACGAGCCUAUUAAUACUUGUAUGUCUAUGAUUGUUAAUAUUGGCUUAAGCGUUUCAGUUAAAUGGUUUACAUAACAGGGAAAAAAAUUUAAUGGAAAACUUUAGAGUUCUAACAGAAAUAUAAUUGACUAUGCAGAUAUAGUUAUUUUAUGGUAUACAAAUCAUGUUGCCUUAAUCUCAAUGUCCUAUGACCUAUUUUAUUUUAUAGAGUCAUUCAUUUUUGCCAUGGCUUUUUGUGUUUAUGAGCAUGGAAAUAGUGGGAGUUGGUGUAUCUUAGCAUCUUUGGAAAAUUCUCUUUAAAUGUGGCAAACAAAAAUAUACAUAUAAUCAAGUUUCUUAAUCAACUAUCAUAACUGGCUAGCUAGUUCUUGCCUGCCUUGCUGCCAUUACCCAGGCCAUUACAUUGCAUAGCAUAAUGAAUAGUGAUUAGGUGAUUAUGAGUGAUUCAUUGAGCGUAUUAUUGACCAAACAAACAUAUUCGUCUUUACCCACAACUUAGUUUGAUUAGUUAUUAGACCAUAAAGAGCGGUAAUCUGUUCAUUGGCUUUGUUAUUUUAUUUGGUUUUUCUUUCAACAAUACUGUUGAUUUCUUAUAAAAAUAUUCAUUGGUUUCUAAACACCUAAUCAUUGGCUAUAAUGAAGCUAAAUGAAACUGAGGCUUUGGAUCAAUUUCUUCUAACAAGAUACAAAUGAGCAUAUAACCUAUAUCCUCUAAGUAAAUUUUUCUAAUAUCCCUGAUUUGUUAGGAUCUGGAGGCCUGAAAUCCUCUAGAUUUUUUUAACACUGUCAAUGUUCUUUUUACUCUGAAAAGGGGAAAAAAAGGUUAUAUCUUUCUUACCCUAAGAGUAAGUUGGCAUUGACUUAAUAACAUGCGUUCCCAAGGAUUUGCAAGAUUCACAAGCAGCUUAAACAAAACCCCCCCCCCCCCCCUCCCCGGAAAAAAAAAAAGAAAGAUUUUGCAAGAUUCACAACCAGGUUAUAUUUAAUUUAUUAAUUGUGUGCACGUACUAGUUAUAUGUUGAAAGAAUAGGAAAAAGUAUUUUAACAUGAAUAACUUAAAACUUAUUGCUCAGUUAACAUAAUCUGCAUCAGUACUAGAAAAUGUAUUUAUUGUUUGUAUUUUUUAUGGAUUUGCUUAAGAAAUGAUACGCGAAAUAAUGUUACAUUGUAUUAGGAAUAAAUUGAAGAGAUUCAUGAUAUUUAUGUGUUAUUCAAAUUUCAGAUUGAAUUUUAAACUUUCAAUACAUGCAUUGAAAGCUUAGAUCGUUUAAGAAAUUAUUAAUAGACACAUGUUUUAUUAGUGUCGUCUUUGGAUGAUAGGGAGGAUCAUAUGUCUAUUAAUAAUUCUUGAAUUGUCUAGGCUUGAACUGUUUGGGAAUGCAUAGUUUUCUAUGGUAGCUAGUAGCUGAAGUUUUUUUCCUGCAUAAAAAUGGGUUUUUCGCUAGCUGCUUCUCAUCUUCUUUGGGUGCAUACUAGAUAACACACAAACACUCAUAUAUCUAUGUCGUGUGCUUGGAGAACUAUUGGGAGAUGCUGCCGAAAUUUCUAUAAACGUAGAAGAAAACUUUAAAGUACUUGAAAUUGAAGAAACUUAUGCAUUCUUGAGAGGGAUAUAUGGGAUCACUUACCUUUUGUAAAUAUGAAGGGAGUGUUGGACAUAUUGAUGGGAGUGGAGGAGCUGAGUUGGAUGGAUGUAAUCGGUUAUGGUUUUGCUGAGUUAACUUGGUUUUGAGCUUGUAAUUUUGUUUAUAAAUGGAGUACUAUCUCCAAUGUUGGUUUAUAAAUAUGUUUCAGCUGGCUGACCUAAUUUUUUGUUUCUAGGCAACAGGUUUUAUAUCUGUAAUUGAUAGCCAACUGAAGUUCUCAGCUGUGGUUGAGGAUAUUUCUUUACAGAAGGUAUUGGAAACCCUUUUUUACAUUAAUUAUUGUUGUAUAUAUACUUUAAUUUUCACAUCUUUUUCUCUGAUUCUUGUUGAUUUGCUUGCUUUCAUAUAUAUAAAUUCUAAUGAAAUUAACCAUAAAAUUGCAUAAUGAUUUUUUAAUUAUAUUGCAAAACUGUGCACACACGAAAAUAUAUCUUGGUCAGUAGUAGAAAUGCAGAACUAAAAUGAUUUAAUUUUUGUAGUGCAUUAAAAGGAGAUGGUAAUGGAGAAGAGUUGAGUUGGUUUGGCAAAUAGAUAUCCAAGUUAUAUACUGAUGGGGUUGAAAAAUUUAUAGAUUUUGCAUUUGAGAAUGUUGUUGGUGAUGCAAGAAUUUAUUAUCCUUGUAAGAAGUGUCGAAUAUUUCGUUUUAAGGGAAGUAGCAAGAGACCAUAUCGUUAUAAAUGGUUUUUG